Molecule: ribosomal RNA, 483 nt
Filed under: uncultured bacterium
Lineage: Bacteria
Description: partial 16S ribosomal RNA
Rfam family: Bacterial small subunit ribosomal RNA
Source: RNAcentral
AUUGAACGCUGGCGGCAGGCCUAACACAUGCAAGUCGAGCGGAUGAAGGGAGCUUGCUCCUGGAUUCAGCGGCGGACUGGUGAGUAAUGCCUAGGAAUCUGCCUGGUAGUGGGGGAUAACGUCCGGAAACGGGCGCUAAUACCGCAUACGUCCUGAGGGAGAAAGUGGGGGAUCUUCGGACCUCACGCUAUCAGAUGAGCCUAGGUCGGAUUAGCUAGUUGGUGGGGUAAAGGCCUACCAAGGCGACGAUCCGUAACUGGUCUGAGAGGAUGAUCAGUCACACUAGAACUGAGACACGGUCCAGACUCCUACGGGAGGCAGCAGUGGGGAAUAUUGGACAAUGGGCGAAAGCAUGAUCCAGCCAUGCCGCGUGUGUGAAGAAGGUCUUCGGAUUGUAAAGCACUUUAAGUUGGGAGGAAGGGCAGUAAGUUAAUACCUUGCUGUUUUGACGUUACCAACAGAAUGAGCACCGGCUAACUUCGU